UACGGAGGGGGCUAGCGUUGUUCGGAAUUACUGGGCGUAAAGCGCGCGCAGGCGGUCCUUUAAGUCUGAUGUGAAAGCCCACGGCUCAACCGUGGAGGGUCAUUGGAAACUGGGGGGACUUGAGUACAGAAGAGAAGAGUGGAAUUCCACGUGUAGCGGUGAAAUGCGUAGAGAUGUGGAGGAACACCAGUGGCGAAGGCGACUCUUUGGUCUGUAACUGACGCUGAGGCGCGAAAGCGUGGGGAGCAAACAGG
This 254-nucleotide ribosomal RNA is filed under the name uncultured bacterium. RNAcentral's name for it is "partial 16S ribosomal RNA". It matches the Rfam family "Bacterial small subunit ribosomal RNA", at positions 524 to 776 of the family's 1533-position model. The record is from RNAcentral.